Molecule: long non-coding RNA, 100 nt
Organism: Sapajus apella (tufted capuchin)
Lineage: Eukaryota; Metazoa; Chordata; Mammalia; Primates; Cebidae
Exons: 5
Source: RefSeq, a predicted model, not a curated record
UGAGCAUGGAAUUCUUGCUCAGCUAAAGGGGUAAGGAUCAACGCUUAGGAAGGCUGAAGCAGCUAGAAUUAGCAGGGCACAGUACCAGAGAAGAGUUAGC